This 196-nucleotide ribosomal RNA is filed under the name Penicillium glaucoalbidum. RNAcentral's name for it is "partial 28S ribosomal RNA". It matches the Rfam family "Eukaryotic large subunit ribosomal RNA", at positions 1 to 195 of the family's 3401-position model. Lineage: Eukaryota; Fungi; Ascomycota; Eurotiomycetes; Eurotiales; Aspergillaceae. The record is from RNAcentral.
UUGACCUCGGAUCAGGUAGGGAUACCCGCUGAACUUAAGCAUAUCAAUAAGCGGAGGAAAAGAAACCAACAGGGAUUGCCUCAGUAACGGCGAGUGAAGCGGCAAGAGCUCAAAUUUGAAAGCUGGGCCUUUCAGGUCCCGCAUUGUAAUUUGCAGAGGAUGCUUCGGGAGUGGUCCCCAUCUAAGUGCUCUGGAA